Molecule: transfer RNA, 71 nt
Filed under: Candidatus Gottesmanbacteria bacterium
Lineage: Bacteria; Candidatus Gottesmaniibacteriota
Description: tRNA-Trp
Rfam family: tRNA
About the family: Transfer RNA (tRNA) molecules are approximately 80 nucleotides in length. Their secondary structure includes four short double-helical elements and three loops (D, anti-codon, and T loops).
Source: RNAcentral
AGGCUCGUAGGUUAAUGGUAGACCUGGACUCUCCAAAAGUUCAAGUGGAGGUUCGAUUCCUCCCGAGCCUG